GAUGAACGCUGGCGGCGUGCUUAACACAUGCAAGUCGAGCGAAGCGAUUUUAAGGAAGUUUUCGGAUGGAAUUAAAUUGACUUAGCGGCGGACGGUGAGUAACGCGUGGGUAACCUGCCUCAUACAGGGGGAUAACAGUUAGAAAUGACUGCUAAUACCGCAUAAGCGCACAGUGCCACAUGGCACAGUGUGAAAAACUCCGGUGGUAUGAGAUGGACCCGCGUCUGAUUAGGUAGUUGGUGAGGUAAUGGCUCACCAAGCCGACGAUCAGUAGCCGACCUGAGAGGGUGACCGGCCACAUUGGGACUGAGACACGGCCCAAACUCCUACGGGUGGCAG
Molecule: ribosomal RNA, 339 nt
Filed under: uncultured Bacillota bacterium
Lineage: Bacteria; Bacillati; Bacillota
Description: bacterial SSU rRNA
Rfam family: Bacterial small subunit ribosomal RNA
Source: RNAcentral